Molecule: ribosomal RNA, 253 nt
Filed under: uncultured bacterium
Lineage: Bacteria
Description: partial 16S ribosomal RNA
Rfam family: Bacterial small subunit ribosomal RNA
Source: RNAcentral
UACGUAGGAGGCAAGCGUUGUCCGGAAUUACUGGGUGUAAAGCGCGUGUAGGCGGCAGGCCAAGUCUGUGGUGAAAUCGCUCGGCUCAACUGGGCGGGGUCCAUGGAAACUGGUCAGCUGGAGGACGGUAGAGGUGAGUGGAAUUCCCGGUGUAGUGGUGAAAUGCGUAGAGAUCGGGAGGAACACCAAUGGCGAAGGCAGCUCUCUGGGACGGUACUGACGCUGAGACGCGAAAGCGUGGGGAGCGAACAGG